This 1374-nucleotide ribosomal RNA is filed under the name uncultured bacterium. RNAcentral's name for it is "16S ribosomal RNA". It matches the Rfam family "Bacterial small subunit ribosomal RNA", at positions 21 to 1390 of the family's 1533-position model. The record is from RNAcentral.
GGCUCAGGAUGAACGCUAGCUACAGGCUUAACACAUGCAAGUCGAGGGGCAGCAUGGUCUUAGCUUGCUAAGGCCGAUGGCGACCGGCGCACGGGUGAGUAACACGUAUCCAACCUGCCGUCUACUCUUGGACAGCCUUCUGAAAGGAAGAUUAAUGCAAGAUGGCAUCAUGAGUCCGCAUGUUCACAUGAUUAAAGGUAUUCCGGUAGACGAUGGGGAUGCGUUCCAUUAGAUAGUAGGCGGGGUAACGGCCCACCUAGUCUUCGAUGGAUAGGGGUUCUGAGAGGAAGGUCCCCCACAUUGGAACUGAGACACGGUCCAAACUCCUACGGGAGGCAGCAGUGAGGAAUAUUGGUCAAUGGGCGAGAGCCUGAACCAGCCAAGUAGCGUGAAGGAUGACUGCCCUAUGGGUUGUAAACUUCUUUUAUAAAGGAAUAAAGUCGGGUAUGGAUACCCGUUUGCAUGUACUUUAUGAAUAAGGAUCGGCUAACUCCGUGCCAGCAGCCGCGGUAAUACGGAGGAUCCGAGCGUUAUCCGGAUUUAUUGGGUUUAAAGGGAGCGUAGAUGGAUGUUUAAGUCAGUUGUGAAAGUUUGCGGCUCAACCGUAAAAUUGCAGUUGAUACUGGAUAUCUUGAGUGCAGUUGAGGCAGGCGGAAUUCGUGGUGUAGCGGUGAAAUGCUUAGAUAUCACGAAGAACUCCGAUUGCGAAGGCAGCCUGCUAAGCUGCAACUGACAUUGAGGCUCGAAAGUGUGGGUAUCAAACAGGAUUAGAUACCCUGGUAGUCCACACGGUAAACGAUGAAUACUCGCUGUUUGCGAUAUACGGCAAGCGGCCAAGCGAAAGCGUUAAGUAUUCCACCUGGGGAGUACGCCGGCAACGGUGAAACUCAAAGGAAUUGACGGGGGCCCGCACAAGCGGAGGAACAUGUGGUUUAAUUCGAUGAUACGCGAGGAACCUUACCCGGGCUUAAAUUGCAGAUGAAUUACGGUGAAAGCCGUAAGCCGCAAGGCAUCUGUGAAGGUGCUGCAUGGUUGUCGUCAGCUCGUGCCGUGAGGUGUCGGCUUAAGUGUCAUAACGAGCGCAACCCUUGUUGUCAGUUACUAACAGGUCCCGCUGAGGACUCUGACAAGACUGCCAUCGUAAGAUGUGAGGAAGGUGGGGAUGACGUCAAAUCAGCACGGCCCUUACGUCCGGGGCUACACACGUGUUACAAUGGGGGGUACAGAGGGCCGCUACCACGCGAGUGGAUGCCAAUCCCCAAAACCUCUCUCAGUUCGGACUGGAGUCUGCAACCCGACUCCACGAAGCUGGAUUCGCUAGUAAUCGCGCAUCAGCCACGGCGCGGUGAAUACGUUCCCGGGCCUUGUACACAC